UACGAAGGGGGCUAGCGUUGCUCGGAAUUACUGGGCGUAAAGCGCACGUAGGCGGUCUUUUAAGUCGGGGGUGAAAUCCUGGAGCUCAACUCCAGAACUGCCUUCGAUACUGGAAGACUCGAGUCCGGGAGAGGUGAGUGGAACUGCGAGUGUAGAGGUGAAAUUCGUAGAUAUUCGCAAGAACACCAGUGGCGAAGGCGAACUCACUGGACAUGUAUUGACGCUGAGGUGCGAAAAGCGUGGGGAGCAAACAGG
Molecule: ribosomal RNA, 255 nt
Filed under: uncultured bacterium
Lineage: Bacteria
Description: partial 16S ribosomal RNA
Rfam family: Bacterial small subunit ribosomal RNA
Source: RNAcentral